This 447-nucleotide ribosomal RNA is filed under the name uncultured bacterium. Its description in RNAcentral is "partial 16S ribosomal RNA". It matches the Rfam family "Bacterial small subunit ribosomal RNA", at positions 29 to 523 of the family's 1533-position model. The record is from RNAcentral.
AGCGGACGCUGGCGGCAGGCUUAACACAUGCAAGUCGAACGGUCCUUCGGGAUAGUGGCGGACGGGUGAGUAACACGUGGGAACGUACCCUUAGGUUCGGAACAACACAGGGAAACUUGUGCUAAUACCGGAUAAGCCCUUCGGGGGAAAGAUUUAUCGCCUUUGGAGCGGCCCGCGGCUGAUUAGCUUGUUGGUGAGGUAAUGGCUCACCAAGGCUACGAUCAGUAGCUGGUCUGUGAGGAUGGCCAGCCACACUGGGACUGAGACACGGCCCAGCCUCCUACGGGAGGCAGCAGUGGGGAAUUGUGCGCAAUGGGCGAAAGCCUGACGCAGCCAUGCCGCGUGGAUGAUGAAGGUCUUAGGAUUGUAAAAUCCUUUCACCGGGGACGAUAAUGACGGUACCCGGAGAAGAAGCCCCGGCUAACUUCGUGCCAGCCGCCGCCGUAA